CCAGCUCCAAUAGCGUAUAUUAAAGUUGUUGCAGUUAAAAAGCUCGUAGUUGAAUUUCUGGUUGGAAUUAUACUCGGCUUAGGUCGAUAUAAUUCUCAAUCAUCCGUAUGAGAAACUAACUCGCUCUUCGCGGGGCGGUUAGUGUAUCAUACAUUUUACUUUGAAAAAAUUAGAGUGUUUCAGGCAGGCCAUUGCUGGGAUACACAAGCAUGGAAUAAUGGAAUAGGACUUUGACCUAUUUUAUUGGUAUAUUAGGUCGAAGUAAUGAUUAAUAGGGACAGUUGGGGGCAUUAGUAUUUAAUUGUCAGAGGUGAAAUUCUUGGAUUUAUUAAAGACUAACUUAUGCGAAAGCAUUUGCCAAGGAUGUUUUCA
This 372-nucleotide ribosomal RNA is filed under the name uncultured Bryometopus. RNAcentral's name for it is "SSU rRNA". It matches the Rfam family "Eukaryotic small subunit ribosomal RNA", at positions 585 to 972 of the family's 1831-position model. Lineage: Eukaryota; Ciliophora; Colpodea; Bryometopida. The record is from RNAcentral.